Molecule: ribosomal RNA, 465 nt
Filed under: uncultured bacterium
Lineage: Bacteria
Description: partial 16S ribosomal RNA
Rfam family: Bacterial small subunit ribosomal RNA
Source: RNAcentral
CCUACGGGAGGCAGCAGUGGGGAAUAUUGCGCAAUGGGCGAAAGCCUGACGCAGCGACGCCGCGUGAGGGAUGAAGGUCUUCGGAUCGGAAACCUCUGUCAGCAGGGAAGUACGGUCACUGUGCUAAUCAGCAGUGAAUUGACGGUACCUGCAAAGGAAGCACCGGCUAACUCCGUGCCAGCAGCCGCGGUAAUACGGAGGGGGCGAGCGUUAACCGGAAUUACUGGGCGUGAAGCGCUCGUAGGCGGUAUGUCAAGUCAAGGGUGAAAUCCCCGCGCUGAACGUGGGAACUGCAUUUGAAACUGGCAGACUGGAGUGUGUGAGAGGAUAGUGGAAUUCCAGGUGUAGGAGUGAAAUCCGUAGAUAUCUGGAGGAACAUCAGUGGCGAAGGCGACUAUCUGGCACAUAACUGACGCUGAGGAGCGAAAGCGUGGGUAGCAAACAGGAUUAGAUACCCCUGUAGUC